Molecule: ribosomal RNA, 858 nt
Filed under: Curvularia trifolii
Lineage: Eukaryota; Fungi; Ascomycota; Dothideomycetes; Pleosporales; Pleosporaceae
Description: eukaryotic LSU rRNA
Rfam family: Eukaryotic large subunit ribosomal RNA
Source: RNAcentral
ACCAACAGGGAUUGCCCUAGUAACGGCGAGUGAAGCGGCAACAGCUCAAAUUUGAAAUCUGGCUCUUUUAGAGUCCGAGUUGUAAUUUGCAGAGGGCGCUUUGGCUUUGGCAGCGGUCCAAGUUCCUUGGAACAGGACGUCACAGAGGGUGAGAAUCCCGUACGUGGUCGCUAGCUAUUGCCGUGUAAAGCCCCUUCGACGAGUCGAGUUGUUUGGGAAUGCAGCUCUAAAUGGGAGGUAAAUUUCUUCUAAAGCUAAAUAUUGGCCAGAGACCGAUAGCGCACAAGUAGAGUGAUCGAAAGAUGAAAAGCACUUUGGAAAGAGAGUCAAACAGCACGUGAAAUUGUUGAAAGGGAAGCGCUUGCAGCCAGACUUGCUUGCAGUUGCUCAUCCGGGCUUUUGCCCGGUGCACUCUUCUGCAGGCAGGCCAGCAUCAGUUUGGGCGGUGGGAUAAAGGUCUCUGUCACGUUCCUUCCUUCGGGUUGGCCAUAUAGGGGAGACGUCAUACCACCAGCCUGGACUGAGGUCCGCGCAUCUGCUAGGAUGCUGGCGUAAUGGCUGUAAGCGGCCCGUCUUGAAACACGGACCAAGGAGUCUAACAUCUAUGCGAGUGUUUGGGUGUCAAGCCCGAACGCGUAAUGAAAGUGAACGGAGGUGGGAACCCGCAAGGGUGCACCAUCGACCGAUCCUGAAGUUUACGGAAGGAUUUGAGUAAGAGCAUGGCUGUUGGGACCCGAAAGAUGGUGAACUAUGCUUGAAUAGGGUGAAGCCAGAGGAAACUCUGGUGGAGGCUCGCAGCGGUUCUGACGUGCAAAUCGAUCGUCAAAUUUGGGCAUAGGGGCGAAAGACUAAUCGAAC